RNAcentral lists this ribosomal RNA (492 nucleotides) under uncultured bacterium. RNAcentral describes it as "partial 16S ribosomal RNA". It matches the Rfam family "Bacterial small subunit ribosomal RNA", at positions 29 to 507 of the family's 1533-position model. The record is from RNAcentral.
AGUGAACGCUGGCGGUAGGCCUAACACAUGCAAGUCGAACGGCAGCACAGUAAGAGCUUGCUCUUACGGGUGGCGAGUGGCGGACGGGUGAGGAAUACAUCGGAAUCUACUUUUUCGUGGGGGCUCACGUAGGGAAACUUACGCUACUACCGCAUAUGACCUACGGGUGAAAGCAGGGGAUCUUCGGACCUUGCGCGAUUGAAUGAGCCGAUGUCGGAUUAGCUAGUUGGCGGGGUAAAGGUGCACCAAGGCGACGAUCCGUAGCCGGUCUGAGAGGAUGAUCAGCCACACUGGAACUGAGACACGGUCCAGACUCCUACGGGAGGCAGCAGUGGGGAAUAUUGGACAAUGGGCGCAAGCCUGAUCCAGCCAUACCGCGUGGGUGAAGAAGGCCUUCGGGUUGUAAAACCCUUUUGUUGGGAAAGAAAAGCAGCAGGUUAAUACCCCGCUGUUCUGACGGUACCCAAAGAAUAAGCACCGGCUAACUUCGUG